RNAcentral lists this ribosomal RNA (250 nucleotides) under uncultured bacterium. RNAcentral's name for it is "partial 16S ribosomal RNA". It matches the Rfam family "Bacterial small subunit ribosomal RNA", at positions 524 to 773 of the family's 1533-position model. The record is from RNAcentral.
UACAGAGGGUGCAAGCGUUAAUCGGAAUUACUGGGCGUAAAGGGCGCGUAGGUGGAUAAGUGUGUUGGAUGUGAAAGCCCCGGGCUCAACCUGGGAGGGUCAUUCAAAACUGCUUAUCUAGAGUACAGUAGAGGGAAGUGGAAUUUCCGGUGUAGCGGUGGAAUGCAUAGAUAUCGGAAGGAACACCAGUGGCGAAGGCGGCUUCCUGGACUGUUACUGACACUGAGGCGCGAAAGCGUGGGGAGCAAAC